GGAUUUUUUGUAACCGUGCGGCAAAUCGGCGAGAUUCUGUAUAAUUCUUUUUCAAUGUGUAGCAAUUGUUUGUGUUAUUGUUGAUUAUUUUUUCCAGUUUUCAAAUAUUUUGUACCGUUUAGUGCAAUUACGGUUCGUGGAGUUUCUGGAUAUAAUUUAAGCACCCAACGACUCCUGCCGCGGUUGCCAAAUGAUGUUCUGGACUCAUCAACGCAAGCGGCCGAUCUUGGGCUGGGACUACUUCAUGCAGGUGGACUCAAACAUACAGGACUUCAGACAUCCAAAGGUCAUGCUCGCUCAAAGGAACUCAACGAAAAAGAUUGCAGCUUUUUUAUCAACAAACAUGUUGAACAUCGCUGAAUAAGAUGUUGAGGCAAACACCGCCACCACUGCCCAGCACAAGCACAGUUCAAGUUCUUAGAAAACUUGACAGAUUUUCUAACCUGGACCCGGCAGCUCCUGAAUAAGGCAGAUUUCUUCACCUGCAUAAGAUAAUCAACAGCGCGACUUCCAGCUUGUCGAGCUUUAGGGAUCAACACCAUCAGUGCUCAUAAGUUGAUUUCUAGAUUAUGUUUACUGCCGUUCUACGCAUAAUUGUCCCAUGUCAGUUUUGGGCGAUUUUGACUUUAUGACAUUUUUAAGUUUAGUUUGAUGUGUACUUUAAGAAAAACACAUAAAAUCUGGUACAGUAGUUGUUCGGUAACUGGGCGUUGUUUAACUGGGCUGCUUUUUAACUGGGCGCUCGAUAACUGGGCCGUAGCCCAGUUAAAAAGCAGACAAACGUAAAAAAAACCAAAACAAACCAAAAUGACCGAGGGGUUAAUGGAUGCAAAAAACAUAUUCAAUAAAUAAAAAAAAUUUUUUCAAA
Long non-coding RNA from Culex pipiens pallens (northern house mosquito), 868 nucleotides. RefSeq lists it as uncharacterized. The transcript has 3 exons. The record is from RefSeq and is a predicted model, not a curated record. NCBI's taxonomy places the organism in Eukaryota, Metazoa, Arthropoda, Insecta, Diptera, Culicidae.